UACGGAAGGCAGCAGGGGGAAUAUUGCACAAUGGGCGCAAGCCUGAUGCAGCCAUGCCGCGUGUAUGAAAAAGGCCUUCGGGUUGUAAAGUACUUUCAGUCGUGAGGAAGGUGUUAAGGUUAAUAACCUUAGCAAUUGACGUUAGCGACAGAAGAAGCACCGGCUAACUCCGUGCCAGCAGCCGCGGUAAUACGGAGGGUGCGAGCGUUAAUCGGAAUUACUGGGCGUAAAGGGCACGCAGGCGGUUAAUUAAGUUGGAUGUGAAAUCCCCGGGCUUAACCUGGGAAUGGCAUUCAAGACUGGUUAGCUAGAGUCUUGUAGAGGGGGUAGAAUUCCAUGUGUAGCGGUGAAAUGCGUAGAGAUGUGGAGGAAUACCGGUGGCGAAGGCGGCCCCUGGACAAAGACUGACGCUCAUGUGCGAAAGCGUGGGGAGCAAACAGGGAUUAGAUACCCGU
Molecule: ribosomal RNA, 455 nt
Filed under: uncultured bacterium
Lineage: Bacteria
Description: bacterial SSU rRNA
Rfam family: Bacterial small subunit ribosomal RNA
Source: RNAcentral